RNAcentral lists this ribosomal RNA (372 nucleotides) under uncultured organism. RNAcentral's name for it is "bacterial SSU rRNA". It matches the Rfam family "Bacterial small subunit ribosomal RNA", at positions 526 to 896 of the family's 1533-position model. The record is from RNAcentral.
CGGGGGGGCGAAGCGUUGUUCGGAACUACUGGGCGUAAAGGGCUCGUAGGUGGCCAACUAAGUCAGACGUGAAAUCCCUCGGCUUAACCGGGGAACUGCGUCUGAUACUGGAUGGCUGGAGUAUGGGAGAGGAAUGCGGAAUUCCAGGUGUAGCGGUGAAAUGCGUAGAUAUCUGGAGGAACACCGGUGGCGAAGGCGGCAUUCUGGACCAUUACUGACGCUGAGGAGCGAAAGCCAGGGGAGCAAACGGGAUUAGAUACCCCGGUAGUCCUGGCCCUAAACGAUGAAUGCUUGGUGUGGCGGGUAUCGAUCCCUGCCGUGCCGAAGCUAACGCAUUAAGCAUUCCGCCUGGGGAGUACGGUCGCAAGGCUG